CUUGGCGGCGUGCCUUAAUCAUGCAAGCUCGAGCGGACAGAAAGGGAGCUUGCUCCCGGAUGUUAGCGGCGGACGGGUGAGUAACACGUGGGUAACCUGCCUGUAAGACUGGGAUAACUCCGGGAAACCGGAGCUAAUACCGGAUAGUUCCUUGAACCGCAUGGUUCAAGGAUGAAAGACGGUUUCGGCUGUCACUUACAGAUGGACCCGCGGCGCAUUAGCUAGUUGGUGGGGUAAUGGCUCACCAAGGCGACGAUGCGUAGCCGACCUGAGAGGGUGAUCGGCCACACUGGGACUGAGACACGGCCCAGACUCCUACGGGAGGCAGCAGUAGGGAAUCUUCCGCAAUGGACGAAAGUCUGACGGAGCAACGCCGCGUGAGUGAUGAAGGUUUUCGGAUCGUAAAGCUCUGUUGUUAGGGAAGAACAAGUGCGAGAGUAACUGCUCGCACCUUGACGGUACCUAACCAGAAAGCCACGGCUAACUACGUGCCAGCAGCCGCGGUAAUACGUAGGUGGCAAGCGUUGUCCGGAAUUAUUGGGCGUAAAGGGCUCGCAGGCGGUUUCUUAAGUCUGAUGUGAAAGCCCCCGGCUCAACCGGGGAGGGUCAUUGGAAACUGGGAAACUUGAGUGCAAAAAAGGAGAGUGGAUUCCCCGUGUAGCGGUGAAUGCGUAAAGAUGUGGAGGAACACCAGUGGCGAAGGCGACUCUCUGGUCUGUAACUGACCCUGAGGAACGAAAGCGUGGGGA
This 749-nucleotide ribosomal RNA is filed under the name Bacillus sp. Bac18D2. RNAcentral's name for it is "bacterial SSU rRNA". It matches the Rfam family "Bacterial small subunit ribosomal RNA", at positions 36 to 767 of the family's 1533-position model. Lineage: Bacteria; Bacillati; Bacillota; Bacilli; Caryophanales; Bacillaceae. The record is from RNAcentral.